CAAGCUGGAAAAUGCUUCAAAGUAAUGGUAUAUGAUGAACAAAAUCAACAACACUUGAGCUCCUUCGAGGUUUUCAGCAGAAAUCCAAAAAUGAAGAAGUGAGGUUUUUUGGAGGAAAUGGUUUUUUGGUCUUCAAUUGAUGUCUGCUAGGGCUUUGGAAAGGCAGAAAAAGAGUUCUUAUAUGUCUGUUUAAGGUUGGAUUAGUGAGAGCUAAGCACAAUUUUG
Molecule: long non-coding RNA, 225 nt
Filed under: Lathyrus oleraceus (garden pea)
Lineage: Eukaryota; Viridiplantae; Streptophyta; Magnoliopsida; Fabales; Fabaceae
Description: Pisum sativum (pea) long non-coding RNA (PSAT_LNC029332)
Source: RNAcentral